CAGUCGCCGCGGGAAUACGUAGGGUGCGAACGUUAAUCGGAAUUACUGGGCGUAAAGCGUGCGCAGGCGGUUCGUUAAGACAGAUGUGAAAUCCCCGGGCUUAACCUGGGAACUGCAUUUGUGACUGGCGAGCUAGAGUAUGGCAGAGGGGGGUAGAAUUCCACGUGUAGCAGUGAAAUGCGUAGAGAUGUGGAGGAAUACCGAUGGCGAAGGCAGCCCCCUGGGCCAAUACUGACGCUCAUGCACGAAAGCGUGGGGAGCAAACAGGAUUAGAUACCCCUGUAGUCCCUGUCUCUUAUAC
Molecule: ribosomal RNA, 301 nt
Filed under: uncultured bacterium
Lineage: Bacteria
Description: partial 16S ribosomal RNA
Rfam family: Bacterial small subunit ribosomal RNA
Source: RNAcentral